Molecule: ribosomal RNA, 1225 nt
Filed under: Locris actuosa
Lineage: Eukaryota; Metazoa; Arthropoda; Insecta; Hemiptera; Cercopidae
Also listed under: 1 other name
Description: SSU rRNA
Rfam family: Eukaryotic small subunit ribosomal RNA
Source: RNAcentral
GUGUUCCACGCUGUCGGUUCGCCGCCCGUCGGUGUUAACUGGCAUGUCCUGUGGAACGUCCUGCCGGUGGCGGUCCGGGCGUUCGGCUUGCGUAAAGGCUCACGCCCGAAGCAGGUCGAGCUGUCCCGGCCGCCGGUCCAAUCCCGCCACGGUGCUCUUCACCGAGUGUCGAGGUGGGCCGGCACGUUUACUUUGAACAAAUUAGAGUGCUUAAAGCAGGCUGGUGUCCGCCUGAAUACUGUGUGCAUGGAAUAAUAGAAUAGGACCUCGGUUCUAUUUUGUUGGUUUUCGGAACCCGAGGUAAUGAUUAAUAGGGACAGGCGGGGGCAUUCGUAUUGCGACGUUAGAGGUGAAAUUCUUGGAUCGUCGCAAGACGAACCUAAGCGAAAGCAUUUGCCAAGUAUGUUCUCGUUAAUCAAGAACGAAAGUUAGAGGUUCGAAGGCGAUCAGAUACCGCCCUAGUUCUAACCAUAAACGAUGCCAGCCAGCGAUCCGCCGAAGUUCCUCCGAUGACUCGGCGGGCAGCUUCCGGGAAACCAAAGCUUUUGGGUUCCGGGGGAAGUAUGGUUGCAAAGCUGAAACUUAAAGGAAUUGACGGAAGGGCACCACCAGGAGUGGAGCCUGCGGCUUAAUUUGACUCAACACGGGAAACCUCACCAGGCCCGGACACCGGAAGGAUUGACAGAUUGAGAGCUCUUUCUUGAUUCGGUGGGUGGUGGUGCAUGGCCGUUCUUAGUUGGUGGAGCGAUUUGUCUGGUUAAUUCCGAUAACGAACGAGACUCUAGCCUGCUAACUAGGCGAUUUCCGGUACCCACAAUAGUGUUACCGGCGAUUCAAUUUCUUCUUAGAGGGACAGGCGGCUCCUAGCCGCACGAGACUGAGCAAUAACAGGUCUGUGAUGCCCUUAGAUGUCCUGGGCCGCACGCGCGCUACACUGAAGGAAUCAGCGUGUCUUCCCUGGCCGACAGGCCCGGGUAACCCGUUGAACCUCCUUCGUGCUAGGGAUUGGGGCUUGCAAUUGUUCCCCAUGAACGAGGAAUUCCCAGUAAGCGCGAGUCAUAAGCUCGCGUUGAUUACGUCCCUGCCCUUUGUACACACCGCCCGUCGCUACUACCGAUUGAAUGAUUUAGUGAGGUCUUCGGACUGGUGCGCGGCGAUCGGUUCUGCCGGUCGCCGAUGUUGCUGGAAAGAUGACCAAACUUGAUCAUUUAGAGGAAGUAAAAGU